This 254-nucleotide ribosomal RNA is filed under the name uncultured bacterium. RNAcentral describes it as "partial 16S ribosomal RNA". It matches the Rfam family "Bacterial small subunit ribosomal RNA", at positions 82 to 339 of the family's 1533-position model. The record is from RNAcentral.
UCUCUGAUGGCGAGUGGCGAACGGGUGAGUAACAUAUCGGAACGUGCCCAGUCGUGGGGGAUAACGCAGCGAAAGCUGUGCUAAUACCGCAUACGAUCUAUGGAUGAAAGCGGGGGACCGUAAGGCCUCGCGCGAUUGGAGCGGCCGAUAUCAGAUUAGGUAGUUGGUGGGGUAAAGGCUCACCAAGCCAACGAUCUGUAGCUGGUCUGAGAGGGCGACCGGCCACACUGGGACUGAGACACGGCCCAGACUCC